UAGGGAAUUUUCCGCAAUGGACGCAAGUCUGACGCAGCAACGCCGCGUGAGUGAAGAAGGAUUUCGGUUCGUAAAACCCUGUUGUUAGAGAAGAACAGCGCAUAGAGUAACUGUUAUGCGUGUGACGGUAUCUAACCAGAAAGCCACGGCUAACUACGUGCCAGCAGCCGCGGUAAUACGUAGGUGGCAAGCGUUGUACGGAUUUAUUGGGCGUAAAGCGAGCGCAGGCGGUCAAUUAAGUCUGAUGUGAAAGCCCCCGGCUCAACCGGGGAGGGUCAUUGGGAACUAGUUAACUUGGGUGCAGAAGAGGAGAGUGGAAUUCCAGGUGUGGCGGUGAAAUGCGUGGAAAUAUGGAGGAACACCAGAGGCGAAGGCGACUCUCUGGUCUGUAACUGACGCUGAGGCUCGAAAGCGGGGGUAGCAAACAGG
RNAcentral lists this ribosomal RNA (429 nucleotides) under Bacteroidota bacterium. RNAcentral's name for it is "Bacteroidetes bacterium partial 16S ribosomal RNA". It matches the Rfam family "Bacterial small subunit ribosomal RNA", at positions 355 to 776 of the family's 1533-position model. The record is from RNAcentral. Lineage: Bacteria; Pseudomonadati; Bacteroidota.